UGAGGAAUAUUGGUCAAUGGGCGAGAGCCUGAACCAGCCAAGUCGCGUGAAGGAUGACGGCCCUACGGGUUGUAAACUUCUUUUGUCAGGGAGCAAUUGAGUCCACGUGUGGGCUUAGCGAGAGUACCUGAAGAAAAAGCAUCGGCUAACUCCGUGCCAGCAGCCGCGGUAAUACGGAGGAUGCGAGCGUUAUCCGGAUUUAUUGGGUUUAAAGGGUGCGUAGGCGGAAUAUCAAGUCAGCGGUAAAAAUUCGGGGCUCAACCCCGUCGUGCCGUUGAAACUGAUGUUCUUGAGUGGGCGAGA
RNAcentral lists this ribosomal RNA (303 nucleotides) under uncultured bacterium. RNAcentral describes it as "bacterial SSU rRNA". It matches the Rfam family "Bacterial small subunit ribosomal RNA", at positions 355 to 655 of the family's 1533-position model. The record is from RNAcentral.